RNAcentral lists this transfer RNA (64 nucleotides) under Heterotermes tenuis. RNAcentral describes it as "tRNA-Glu". It matches the Rfam family "tRNA". Rfam says of the family: Transfer RNA (tRNA) molecules are approximately 80 nucleotides in length. The record is from RNAcentral. Lineage: Eukaryota; Metazoa; Arthropoda; Insecta; Blattodea; Rhinotermitidae.
AUUUAUAUAGUUUAAGAAAACAUUACAUUUUCACUGUAAAGAUAAAGGCUAACUUUUAUAAAUA